Non-coding RNA from Monodelphis domestica (gray short-tailed opossum), 3703 nucleotides. Lineage: Eukaryota; Metazoa; Chordata; Mammalia; Didelphimorphia; Didelphidae. The record is from RefSeq and is a predicted model, not a curated record.
UUCUUCAUUGUUUGGAAGUGGAGACUGGAGUUCUACUUGGAGUAGAGGCUGAAGAGAAUCUGCUGACUGGACCUGAGACCUUAUUCCUGGUGAGGCUGUUCUAAAAUCUCUUCCUUUAAACUGACACGUGGUAUUUUGAUAAAAAUGGCAAGCUGGCCAUUGAAGGAAGAAUAGGAUCUGGACAGCUGAUGAUAAGGAUGGAGAAGAAGAAAUAGAAUCCACCAAAUCAUGGAAUUCAAGUGUUUUAAGUACAAUUGAAGAAGAAGAACUACUCUAAGCAAGAAAUCUUGCUUGCUACAUAAGAAGGCGAGGAGAGCAUCUAAAUGCUAUUGGCCCAAUAGUUCAGGUGAGAAUUAUAAUUCCCUUUUUUCAAUUUUCUCUAUGUUCCCUGAUGUAUAAAUGAUUUGAGAAUGUUCCAGAUAAGGCAGAUGCCUGUGACUCAAUGGACCAUUUAAAAUAUAUUUAUUUAUUAAAAGUCAUUUAUUAAUUUUUUAGAACAUUUUUCCAUGGUUAUAUGAUUCAUGUUCUUUCCUACCCCUCUUCCCCCCUCCCUGAGCUAACAAGCAAUUCUAUUGGGUUAUUCAUAUAUCACUGCUCAAAACCCAUUUCUGUAUUAUUAAUAUUUGCAAUAGAGUGAUCAUUUAAAGCAAUGGACCAUUUUUUUACAUGCACCAGGAAGUGGAUGAUUUAAUGUCAUCAAUUGCCCACACAACUUUGGAGGAUAUCUACUGACCUGGAAUGAGGUGAAGGAUUUCCAUAGAAUGACAAUAAAGUGGCCAUUGCUCCCUUCCUAUUCUAGUACACAUUCUCUAAUCAAUAGAUCUUAUCAAAAGGAACAGGGACCUCUGACUCUCUCUACAUUUGGACACAUCUGUUCUGGAAGAGAUACUCAUUCACCUAAAAAGGGGAAAGGACACACAGAGAGGGAAAUAACCCUAGAUUUCAUGAUCACCUCAUUGAAUCUUUUAUUUUAUCUGCUACAUGGUUGUAUUCCCCACAAUCCUUAAAAAAUGAACAACAACAGAACCUGUGAACCUGCAAAAUGACCAAGGUUAUGAGUUGAUUCAAAGGAUUCUCAUCUCACAGAAUCUUCAAAGCUUAAAAGGGCUACAAAAUGACUAAGAUCCCAGAGCAGAACCAAAAGACCCCUGUGGAUUAUAACCACUCAUAACAAUCAACUCAGACAAAGAAAUACCAACAUGGAAGCUUCUGAACAAAUGAUGGUGAUACGUGAACUUUUUUGAGGGAAACACCUGGGGAAGAGUUUUGUGAUAGUGAUAAAAAGUACUGAAUUGUGGUCACCAGAAAACACAUAAAGAUUAUCCUUAAAGAGUCUAGCCUUAUUUAUUGAAGGAGAUCUAACCUUAUUUAUUGAAGCCUUAUUUACAGAAAGAAAUGGUUGAAAAUGUGUUAACUUAUUGACUUCAGGUUAAAGAAACUAAUUAGUAACUAAAUUCUAACCCUAAUUAGAAAUUAUACUAUGGGUGGCCAAAAUUGUUGUUGUUUGUUCUUCAUUUUCCAGCAACAUCAUGGGAUGAUGUCUUGAACUGCUUGUGAUUUGCACAAAGUCAUCAUCUUCACACUCUAUUCCAGAGUUAUCAAAGUCUAAUGGCAUGACUAGUCAGGAAGACUGGUCAUGGUCCAGAAUGAAGUAUAUGACCUUGAAAUCUUCAGAGCCUAAGUUCUAAGGGCUCCAGAUACCUGCUUCCAAUUACCUUAGAGGCCAUUGGAACAAAAUAUUCUCAUCCACUCCUUCUUCUGAGGUAAGUCUUCACAUGCUUUGAGUGAGCAUCCCCUAACUCACUGAUAAACAUUAAGUCUGUCAAUUAACCUCAAACUGGUUUAACCCUUCUGCCAAGAUGGUUUUACUGGGGUGUGGGCAGCUUUUUGGAACUGAAAGGUGGACAUCAAGGUGGGUAAUUAGCCCUGAAAAGUUCUUAGCAAGCUCCCACAUCAGAGAUGCUAGUCCUCCCUGAAUAUCCCAUACACUCCAACUAUUAUAAACCAUAAUUAUACAUCAAAACUUGUUAAAUUAAUUUUAACUUCAUAAAUGAAUAAAAACAAAUUAAUAUACUAAGGAUAUGUCCAUGUUUAUAUUUGAGAAUUCAACAAAUAACUUUCAAUGGAACUGCUUCAUUGUCUCAGAUGAAACUAUCAAAACAAAUACCUAAUAAUAACAUUAACCCAUAGAAAUUUAAUAACAUCUGUAAUAAAUAGACUUCACCUUACCAAAUAUCCAUGGUUCCCAAACUACAUGGAGAUAAACAUUUUGAAAAUAUAAGAAUCCAGUGAAAGAAAUCCAAAUCAUAUUGGCACAGGAGGAGGUCCACAUCAUCUUGGUGAUUCUUGGAAUCAUCUCAUUGCUGCACAAAAGAUGAGCUUCUAUCCAAAUUCUUACUCAGUUGCAAAAAGCAGUCAUUUUAUCCACCUUUGCAAUAGUCCACAGCACAUUAAAUGUGUAGGGUCAUGUCUCAUAAAGCUCUAUUCUCAGAGAAUAGACUGUGCAUUCCCCCUGCUGCCAGCUCACGUAUAAGAGACUGAAGAGCUCAUUUCCAGAAAGGUGUGAUAAUAUAUAAUAGAAAGUUCCUGCUCUCUAAUUCAAUGCAUCUGAAAAUGCCUUGACUAUUCCUAGCCCUCUUACCAUAUGAAGAAGAGUUUUUUUGAUUGGCUGCUGAUUCUGAACUGUGAAUUCCUUCAAAAGACACUAGCUGGCCAAAGUGUUUUCUCUUUUCUGCCUACCUAUAUUUGAGUGAGGAGGAAUUGAUUACUUGAAGUCUUCACUGUGGAGAGAGUCCUCAGUCCUUUCCAAACACAAGGCACCAACCAAGUGGUCUGCAAACACACAAUCCUACUGUUACUUUUGUCUCUCUUCUGUCUACUUUUUCCUACUUUAAAUGAAGCAGUAUUAGAAAUGGUAGAGGUCUAUGAGGUGUCUAGAGAGAAUGAUCUCUAGAAUGAUCUAUUGUGAUGGCUUGCCAAACCAUUUUCAGUUUUGCUUGUAUAUCUUUGGUGUUCCCUUUUUAACCAACUCUCACCUGUGGCUCCAAGAAGCUGUAGCAUUUGCAGGGACCACAUUCUGGUAAAACCUUCUCACUUUGUUGGUAGAUGGGCUAAAGCAGCCUGAGGGUAAGCAACAGACCUCAAACACAUCAUUGAGUUACCAGUUGUCUACCCCAACCAUGUGAAGACUUUUUCUUUUAGAAUAGAUGGUUCAGAGAGUGACUGAGGCAGGGGCUGUGAAGCCCUUAAAGAUGUGGUCAGACAUCAGAAGAUACCAAGAUCAUUCACUGCAUCAGUCAUCUUGACUUUUGUCUUGAUUUUGUACAAUUCUGCUUCAUUUAAAUACAAUUCACCAGAAAGGUAAAAGAUUACCAUGUGAUGUCACUGGUCCUCCUAGAUACAAAGAAUGAACAUCAAUAAAUUACAGAUGCUUAUGACCUUGUGAAUUUCAGAAGUUUAGAAUAAUGAAUGCCAGAAAUAUGGGAACUAGAAUUCAGGAUGAGGUAUAAUGGAAUCUAAGGACAGACAGAGCAAUAGCAGAGGCUCUAAACAGAUACUGACUUGCUUGACCCAGUCCAGCAAUGGUAAACAACCAACACAUUUCCAAUGGCAAUGCCCCAUUCUGAAAUUAACUUGUAGGGAAACUGCUUGAAGUAUGAAUUUACCCUCGUAAGGAACCAAGGUAGAAUAUAGGAGAUUUUGC